Molecule: ribosomal RNA, 1348 nt
Filed under: metagenome
Description: bacterial LSU rRNA
Rfam family: Bacterial large subunit ribosomal RNA
Source: RNAcentral
UGAGUGCGAGCUGCUACGGCAGCGAAGUUGGUGACGUCAAGCUUCCAAGAAAAGCCCUAUACCCGUUAAGGCAUCAUGGCCUGUACCCGAAACCGACACAGGUGGGGUGGUAGAGAAUACCGAGGGGCGCGAGGUAACUCUCUCUAAGGAACUCGGCAAAAUGGCCCCGUAACUUCGGGAGAAGGGGUGCCACCGCAAGGUGGUCGCAGUGAAGAGGCCCAGGCGACUGUUUACCAAAAACACAGGUCUCCGCUAAGUCGCAAGACGAUGUAUGGGGGCUGACGCCUGCCCAGUGCCGGAAGGUUAAGGAAGCUGGUCAGCGCAAGCGAAGCUGGCGACUGAAGCCCCGGUGAACGGCGGCCGUAACAAUAACGGUCCUAAGGUAGCGAAAUUCCUUGUCGGGUAAGUUCCGACCCGCACGAAAGGCGUAACGAUCUGGGCGCUGUCUCGGAGAGAGGCUCGGCGAAAUAGAAUUGUCUGUGAAGAUGCGGACUACGUGCACCCGGACAGAAAGACCCUAUGAAGCUUUACUGUAGCUUGGUAUUGUGCCCGGGCUCUGAAUGCGCAGGAUAGGUGGGAGGCUUUGAUCAUCGGCUUGCGGGUCGAUGUGAGCCAACGGUGAGAUACCACUCUUUCAGAGCUAGGGUUCUAACAGUCACCCGUUAUCCGGGGACUGGACAGUAUCAGGUGGGCAGUUUGACUGGGGCGGUCGCCUCCUAAAAGGUAACGGAGGCGCGCAAAGGUCUGCUCAGGCUGGUUGGAAAUCAGCCGACGAGUGUAAAAGCAGAAGCAGGCUUGACUGUGAGACCUACAAGUCGAACAGGGAGGAAACUCGGCUUUAGUGAUCCGACGGUUCUGCGUGGAAGGGCCGUCGCUCAACGGAUAAAAGUUACUCUAGGAUAACAGGCUGAUCUCCCCCAAGAGUUCACAUCGACGGGGAGGUUUGGCACCUCGAUGUCGGCUCAUCGCAACCUGGGGCUGAAGUCGGUCCCAAGGGUUGGGCUGUUCGCCCAUUAAAGCGGUACGCGAGCUGGGUUCAGAACGUCGUGAGACAGUUCGGUCCAUAUCCGGUGCAUGCGCAGGAAUAUUGAGAGGAGUUCUCCCUAGUACGAGAGGACCGGGAGGAACGCACCUCUGGUGUACCAGUUAUCGUGCCAACGGUAAACGCUGGGUAGCCAUGUGCGGAGAGGAUAACCGCUGAAAGCAUCUAAGUGGGAAGCCCACCUCAAGAUGAGUAUUCCCAUGGCGUUAGCCAGUAAGGUCACGGGAAGAACACCCGUUGAUAGGCUCUAUGUGGAAGCGCAGUAAUGCGUGAAGCAGAGGAGUACUAAUAGACCGAGGGCUUGGC